Molecule: ribosomal RNA, 901 nt
Filed under: uncultured bacterium
Lineage: Bacteria
Description: bacterial SSU rRNA
Rfam family: Bacterial small subunit ribosomal RNA
Source: RNAcentral
GAGUUUGAUCAUGGCUCAGGACGAACGCUGGCGGCGUGCCUAACACAUGCAAGUCGAGCGGAGUUGGAAGAAGCUGCAGAGAUGCAGCGGGAGCUGACUUAGCGGCGAACGGGUGAGUAACACGUGGGCAAUCUGCCCUCUGGAGCGGGAUAACGGACCGAAAGGCCUGCUAAUACCGCAUGAGGCCUAAAUGUCGCAUGGCAAUUAGGUCAAAGGGGAAACCCGCCGGAGGAGGAGCCCGCGUCCCAUUAGCUAGUUGGCGGUGUAACUGACCACCAAGGCGAUGAUGGGUAGCCGGCCUGAGAGGGUGAACGGCCACAUUGGGACUGAGACACGGCCCAGACUCCUACGGGGGGCAGCAGUGAGGGAUUUUCGGCAAUGGGCGAAAGCCUGACCGAGCGACGCCGCGUGAGCGAAGAAGGCCUUCGGGUCGUAAAGCUCUGUCUAGGGGGACGAGGAAGGACGGUACCCCUGGAGGAAGCCACGGCUAACUACGUGCCAGCAGCCGCGGUAAUACGGAGGAUGCGAGCGUUAUCCGGAUUCAUUGGGUUUAAAGGGUGCGUAGGCGGACUAUUAAGUCAGUGGUGAAAUCCUGCAGCUUAACUGCAGAACUGCCAUUGAUACUGAUAGCCUUGAGUUUGGUUAAGGUAGGCGGAAUGUGUAAUGUAGCGGUGAAAUGCUUAGAUAUUACACAGAACACCAAUUGCGUAGGCAGCUUACUGAGCCGACACUGACGCUGAGGCACGAAAGCGUGGGGAUCGAACAGGAUUAGAUACCCUGUAGUCCACGCUGUAAACGAUGAUCACUCGCUGUUUGCGAUAUACAGUAAGCGGCUAAGCGAAAGCGUUAAGUGAUCCACCUGGGGAGUACGAUCGCAAGGUUGAAACUCAAAGGAAUUGAC